GACGAACGCUGGCGGCGUGCCUAAUACAUGCAAGUCGAACGCUUCUUUCCUCCCGAGUGCUUGCACUCAAUUGGAAAGAGGAGUGGCGGACGGGUGAGUAACACGUGGGUAACCUACCCAUCAGAGGGGGAUGACACUUGGAAACAGGUGCUAAUACCGCAUAACAGUUUAUGCCGCAUGGCAUAAGAGUGAAAGGCGCUUUCGGGUGUCGCUGAUGGAUGGACCCGCGGUGCAUUAGCUAGUUGGUGAGGUAACGGCUCACCAAGGCCACGAUGCAUAGCCGACCUGAGAGGGUGAUAGGCCACACUGGGACUGAGACACGGCCCAGACUCCUACGGGAGGCAGCAGUAGGGAAUCUUCGGCAAUGGACGAAAGUCUGACCGAGCAACGCCGCGUGAGUGAAGAAGGUUUUCGGAUCGUAAAACUCUGUUGUUAGAGAAGAACAAGGACGUUAGUAACUGAACGUCCCCUGACGGUAUCUAACCAGAAAGCCACGGCUAACUACGUG
Molecule: ribosomal RNA, 508 nt
Filed under: uncultured bacterium
Lineage: Bacteria
Description: partial 16S ribosomal RNA
Rfam family: Bacterial small subunit ribosomal RNA
Source: RNAcentral